AAUUUUGGACAAUGGGGGAAACCCUGAUCCAGCAAUGCCGCGUGCAGGAUGAAGGCCUUCGGGCUGUAAACUGCUUUUGUACGGAACGAAAAGUCUUGGGCUAAUACCCUGGGAUCAUGACGGCACAGUAAGAAUACGCAGUGGCUAACUACGUGCCAGCAGUCGCGGUAAUACGUAGGGUGCAAGCGUUAAUCGGAAUUACUGGGCGUAAAGCGUGCGCAGGCGGUUUUGUAAGACAGUGGUGAAAUCCCCGGGCUCAACCUGGGAACUGCCAUUGUGACUGCAAGGCUGGAGUGCGGCAGAGGGGGAUGGAAUUCCGCGUGUAGCAGUGAAAUGCGUAGAUAUGCGGAGGAACACCGAUGGCGAAGGCAAUCCCCUGGGCCUGCACUGACGCUCAUGCACGAAAGCGUGGGGAGCAAACAGG
Molecule: ribosomal RNA, 424 nt
Filed under: uncultured bacterium
Lineage: Bacteria
Description: partial 16S ribosomal RNA
Rfam family: Bacterial small subunit ribosomal RNA
Source: RNAcentral